Perca fluviatilis (European perch) is the source of this 672-nucleotide long non-coding RNA. RefSeq lists it as uncharacterized. NCBI's taxonomy places the organism in Eukaryota, Metazoa, Chordata, Actinopteri, Perciformes, Percidae. The transcript is spliced from 2 exons. The record is from RefSeq and is a predicted model, not a curated record.
GGUGUCCACAGGUGUGUCGCCAUGGCUCCAAACCAAGGAGGGAGGAUAAGUGCUGAGCGAGCACCGACAACAGCUACUCUGUCUUUCUCAAACAUCUUCAAGGUCCCUGUGGAAGGGAUAAAUGGCCAAGAGGAGGUGCCUUCCCAGGAGACACUCAUCUGGAGCUUUACAGGGCUCCGGCGUGCACUGGCAGCGACAGGGCAGCAGGACUCUUUGCACUCGCUGUUCCUUUUUCCUAUGCAUAUACCUUUUUCAGAUGUAACUUUAAAGAGGCAUAGGGCAUGGGAAAAUGGGGCUGCAGAGGUAUUCCACCAGGCAGACAGCCGUUUCAUCAUCUUCUCUGCGGGACAGCUGACCUCAAAGCGCACACACAUACAUACACACAAACACACACACAUUUUGGGCUCCAGGCUUACUGUUUAGACGAAGACUGCGAAGCUUAUAUUGCCACACACCAGUGUGACCGCAAGUGAUUUUUGUGUCUCUGUGAUUUGCUUUUCUGUAAUAUCAUAACUCAAAUUUUGUCAUAUUCAUUUAUGAUGACAUUGUGUGUGUUGACUGAGGUGAUAUUGCAUUUUUGCUACACCAUUGUUCAUUUAAAACAUCUGUUUGCUUCUGAAUAAUCUGUUUGCUGUUGUUGUUUUUUUCAAUAAAGAACUCUUGGCAUUAAUA